UAGGACAUAGCUUAAAAGUAAAGCAACUCACUUACACCGAGUAGACCGCUCGUUCAAAUCGAACUGUCCUAA
This 72-nucleotide transfer RNA is filed under the name Parapercis multifasciata (gold-birdled sandsmelt). RNAcentral describes it as "tRNA-Val". It matches the Rfam family "tRNA". Rfam says of the family: Transfer RNA (tRNA) molecules are approximately 80 nucleotides in length. Their secondary structure includes four short double-helical elements and three loops (D, anti-codon, and T loops). Further hydrogen bonds mediate the characteristic L-shaped molecular structure. tRNAs have two regions of fundamental functional importance: the anti-codon, which is responsible for specific mRNA codon recognition, and the 3' end, to which the tRNAs corresponding amino acid is attached (by aminoacyl-tRNA synthetases). tRNAs cope with the degeneracy of the genetic code in two manners: having more than one tRNA (with a specific anti-codon) for a particular amino acid; and 'wobble' base-pairing, i.e. permitting non-standard base-pairing at the 3rd anti-codon position. Lineage: Eukaryota; Metazoa; Chordata; Actinopteri; Uranoscopiformes; Pinguipedidae. The record is from RNAcentral.